Molecule: long non-coding RNA, 1740 nt
Organism: Oreochromis niloticus (Nile tilapia)
Lineage: Eukaryota; Metazoa; Chordata; Actinopteri; Cichliformes; Cichlidae
Exons: 2
Source: RefSeq, a predicted model, not a curated record
AAGAGAGAGAGAGAGAAAGAGAGGCAGAGUGUGAUUGAGAGAAACCCAGACAGACAGGAAGAAACUGAGAGACAAAAAAGCAGGAGGGUUGGGAGAACACGGGGACACGGAAUAGAUACUCGGUCAUGGGGAGGUGGGAGGCAGAAAGCAUGGAGUGGUCGGUGAGCCAAAAAAAAGUGAGAAACUGGUGGGAGGAAUUGGUGGAAAAAGGAUGUAGAGGAAGAAACACAGAGACAGAGUCAAAUACACACAGCAACAAAACAACAAACAGAAGGGACAGAAUGUGAGAUUGCAGCAACAAAUAAACAUAGAGGCAUGAGAGGAGGUGACAGAGCUGCGUCCAUGCUUGUUGUGUGAGAUUCUGGAGUGUAGGAGCUGUUUGUGUUGUGUAAACUGAUGAAGCUGUGCGCGUUGGGUUGGUAACGCUACUCUCAAAAAGAGCAAGAGAAACAGUGAGGAUUUUUGUUUUUUACUGCCAACAAGCUGGAUCACCAACUGGAUAAGUAUUUGCUUUUUGGAUGUGAAACACAAAAUAAAACUGUGUUACUGACCACCCUAAUUCAUACUUAUGAAAUUCUUAUAAAGUUAUGUGGAAUUCAGUCUGCAGUAAUUGCUAAUGUUAUGAUUUGGUCAUUUGGGGCAAGUCAAAGCGAGUCGAGCCAAGUUAGUACACAAGUGAUCAAAAAUGGCUGCAAGACAUUUCGAUGUUUGAACAUCAUUCUGCAAUGACACAGAAACAACAUUUUAAUAUUUGAGCCUUUCCAGGGCUUCUAUACGUCAUUUCUUUUCAUGUUUUUGUCUGAAUCAGGCCCGAGUUUCAUGCCUUAUGUCUUUAGCUCUGGUUACUAUAGUAUUACUGCUACUAUAUAUUGUCAUUAAAUGCAGGAAGUUUGGACCCAAAUGCAUACUGCAGAGGCGAACUAGAGGUUAACAAAAAACUAGCCUUUAUUCAAACUAUUUUAGUCAUAUAGUCAGGGCUGGAUCAGCUAACCCUGAGUCACAGACCCAGGAACAUGCAAUAUACAAUGAUUUAAUACAGAAGAAGUCUGAAAACAACAAGUUUUCUUCAGUUCUUUUUAGACUUCCCUCACUUUCUGUGGAAUUAUCCACUAAACUAAACUAAAGUUCCAAGUUAAGAAUGAAAAUCAGUCCUAAAUAUACAUUAUAUAUAUUAGGUACAUGCUUGUACCGAACUAGAUCUCUUUUUGCGUUCAUAACUGCCUUAACUCUUUGCACAGAUUCAACAAGGAGCUGGUACAUCACUCUGAGAUUUUGGUCCAUGCUGACAUCACAGCAUCAUCCAGUCGCUGCAGAUUUGUCAUCUGCACAUCCAUUAUUCAAAGCUCUGAAAGGCGCUGGAGUAAAAUCUGGUGAUUGUGGAUUGUCGUGUUCAAGAAAUUAGUUUGAGCUGACAGGUGUGGUGUUCUUCUGCUGCUGUAGCAGCAGGACAUUUUCACCCAGAGAACUGCUGCUUACUGGAUAUUUUCUCCUUUUUGGACCUUUGUCUGUGAACCCUAGUGAUGUGGGGAAAUCCCAGUAGAUCAGCAGCUUCUGAAAUUCUCAGACCAGCCCGCCCGGCACCAACAGCCAUGCCACGUUCAAUGUCUAAGUCAUUUUUCUUCUUCUUCAUUUUGAUGUUCAGUUUGAACUGCAGCAGACCGGCUUGAUCAAACCGUGUAACUGGCUAUUUGCGUUAAUGAGCAGCUAAACAAGUGGUCCUAAUAAAGCAUCCAGGGAAUA